AUGGCGGGAAAUUUUUUUUUCGAAAAUUUUUGGCGGGAAAAUUUUGGUGGGAAAAUUUUGGCGGGAAAUUUUUUUUUCGAAAAUUUUUGGCGGGAAAAUUUUGGCGGGAAAUUUGAUUUUGGAAUAUUUUAGGCGAAAAAUAUUAAUAUUUCAUUUUGUUAACCUAAAUCAAUUUACAAAUAGGGGUAAAAUGGUCAUUAAAAAUAUAAAUAGGGUAUAAAUGAAAAUGGUAAAUAGAAAAAGGGUAGAACUGAAAAGGGGUAGUGUGAAAAGGGCAUUAGAAAGAAUUUUUCUAAAGGGAAAGUUUCCCGAUUAAUCUCUGAUUUUAAUCCGAUUUUCUGAUUAAUCGCUAGGUCCAUAUCGAGCGUCCAAUUAACGCAUAGCCACUUUUUGAACAAGGGUCCCAAUGUGGUUUUUGUCAUCUAUUAGCUAUUUUAGUUCUCAUGUAAAAUAAGUAUGAAUAAUAUAUAUAACAAGUAGGUAACAUUAUC
RNAcentral lists this small RNA (491 nucleotides) under Arabidopsis thaliana (thale cress). RNAcentral describes it as "ATSL210760". Lineage: Eukaryota; Viridiplantae; Streptophyta; Magnoliopsida; Brassicales; Brassicaceae. The record is from RNAcentral.